This is a long non-coding RNA of Carlito syrichta (Philippine tarsier), 169 nucleotides long. RefSeq lists it as uncharacterized. Lineage: Eukaryota; Metazoa; Chordata; Mammalia; Primates; Tarsiidae. The transcript is spliced from 3 exons. The record is from RefSeq and is a predicted model, not a curated record.
AGGGAGAUCCUUGAGGAACAAUUGACUGAUGGGCUCAGACUGGCAAGGUACCUAGUCCAAAAACUCAGUCCAGGAAUCCUACCUGCUGCAGAGUAUCUGAGACAGCCAGAACCCUCAUUCUCCUGAACUGCAUUGUUCAAGAUGAGGAAGAAGACCUUGACCCAAUAUG